Molecule: microRNA precursor, 81 nt
Organism: Equus asinus (donkey)
Lineage: Eukaryota; Metazoa; Chordata; Mammalia; Perissodactyla; Equidae
Source: Ensembl
GGCCUGCCUGACACUCUUUCCCUGUUGCACUACUGUGGGCUGCUGGAAGCAGUGCAAUGAUGAAAGGGCAUCGGUCAGGCC